This 443-nucleotide ribosomal RNA is filed under the name uncultured Sphingomonas sp. RNAcentral's name for it is "bacterial SSU rRNA". It matches the Rfam family "Bacterial small subunit ribosomal RNA", at positions 1 to 493 of the family's 1533-position model. The record is from RNAcentral. Lineage: Bacteria; Pseudomonadati; Pseudomonadota; Alphaproteobacteria; Sphingomonadales; Sphingomonadaceae.
UUAGAGUUUGAAUCCCUGGCUCAGAACGAACGCUGGCGGCAUGCCUAACACAUGCAAGUCGAACGAGACCUUCGGGUCUAGUGGCGCACGGGUGCGUAACGCGUGGGAAUCUGCCCUUGGGUUCGGAAUAACAGUUAGAAAUGACUGCUAAUACCGGAUGAUGACUUCGGCCCAAAGAUUUAUCGCCCAGGGAUGAGCCCGCGUAGGAUUAGCUAGUUGGUGAGGUAAAGGCUCACCAAGGCGACGAUCCUUAGCUGGUCUGAGAGGAUGAUCAGCCACACUGGGACUGAGACACGGCCCAGACUCCUACGGGAGGCAGCAGUGGGGAAUAUUGGACAAUGGGCGAAAGCCUGAUCCAGCAAUGCCGCGUGAGUGAUGAAGGCCUUAGGGUUGUAAACCUCUUUUUUCAGGGAUGAUAAUGACAGUACCUGGAGAAUAAGCUC